This 212-nucleotide unclassified non-coding RNA is filed under the name Paraglomus occultum. Its description in RNAcentral is "partial contains 5.8S ribosomal RNA and internal transcribed spacer 2". The stretch from base 1 to 65 matches the Rfam family "5.8S ribosomal RNA", at positions 84 to 154 of the family's 154-position model. The record is from RNAcentral. Lineage: Eukaryota; Fungi; Glomeromycota; Glomeromycetes; Paraglomerales; Paraglomeraceae.
GUGAAUCAUCGAAUCUUUGAACGCAAAUUGCGCCUUUUUCUGAGGGCAUGUGUGUUUGAGGGCACCAUUUAACAAAUAAUGUGCCGCGUUUUUUGUUGCACACGUUGAUGAGCUUUCUAAGUAUUUUAAAUUAUUGGUGGAGCAUAAUGAACAGCGUGAAAGUUUUUUUCAGGUCGAGGGUAUUAAUAUCUUUGCUUGGGUUGUGCGAAAAC